AUGCCUCCUCAAAGGGCGAGGAGGGGUCGCAGGCAUGGGGGUAAUCCCAGGACUCAGGAAGAUGAGGAUCAGCUUAGGGUCCAACAAUUCAUAACCGCUACACUCUAUGCCACUACUAGGAAGGAUAAAAAGAGUAUUAAAGACGAGGCCAAGACUAUGGGAGAGAGUGAGAAAUACGUAAACCUUUUUGCAAACAAUACGCUUCAAGGUGUGGGUGUGCUCAGCUUUGCUUUAAUGGAGAAAAACAACUUGCUUGCCACUUGUUUACUGGAAUAUGUUCAUUCCGACCCAAGCUCUAGGCUUCAUGACAAGGCUGGACGAACUCCCCUGCAUUUUGCUGCCCGAGGUGGAAACAUUGUCUUGAUGGACACUCUGGUGAACACUCAUCACGUUGAUGUGAAUGCAACUGAUAAUUCAGGGUUAAUUCCAUUGCAUUUGGCAGUUUUCUAUGAUAAUACUGAUGCUCUCCUUGAACAGAUGAGGCUGGGAGCAACCAUUGAGGGGAAUACUUGUUUUGGGAAGGCUAUCCACGCCGCUGCCUUUUUAGGAAGUCUUGGGGCUAUUAAAGCUAUUCACCAGGAUUUCCCCAAUGAGGUAAACAUUGCUAGUGCUGGAAAUUUCACGCCACUUAUUUGUUCCCUGUUCGGCACUUCAGUUGACUGUCAGAACUUUCUUGCAGGGGUAUCUGAUGUGGGUACUCUUCCCUUAUUCACUAAAGUGGCAUUGGUUAAAACCAAUGAGGCUGAAGCUCAUGCUCUUAUGAAAAUGCUUUUAAACCAUGGAGCAGAUGUGAACAUAUUGGACCAGGGUUUUCUUGAAGAACCAGCAUUGAUCAUCGCCGCCAAAAACGAAUGGAAUCUGGUCAUCGACCUUUUAUUUCAUAGAACAAAACAGAUAGCUGGCAUAGAGGACUGGACCAUUGCAAAUUUACUCAUCCAUGUCCAGACAGAAGAGUUUUUGCAUCAGGACCGUUUGAGGAAAGCAAAUAAAAUCCAGCAGCUGCGCCCCAGAAUAAUUGUUGAACUGGAAGCUAGAAAUGUUGUUGUCGCGAUCUAUCUUUGCAAGGCUUUAAAAUCUGAUAUGGAUGAAUGGGACUGGAGCAACAUCAGCAGUCUAUGCGACCUCUGUGUACAUUUUGGAAUGACGUCAUCUGAAUAUGAAGUAACAGUGGAAUCUAUUUCUACGUACACAAGUGCUUAUUUCUUAUAUAAGCAAUAUGAUAAGGCUCUUUUAGCUGUAAAGGCUUGUCUUGCCCUUUAA
Molecule: ribosomal RNA, 1260 nt
Filed under: Triticum aestivum (bread wheat)
Lineage: Eukaryota; Viridiplantae; Streptophyta; Magnoliopsida; Poales; Poaceae
Description: partial small subunit ribosomal RNA
Source: RNAcentral